This 65-nucleotide transfer RNA is filed under the name Marmota monax (woodchuck). Its description in RNAcentral is "tRNA.Ala". Lineage: Eukaryota; Metazoa; Chordata; Mammalia; Rodentia; Sciuridae. The record is from RNAcentral.
GGACGUGGCUCCAGUGGUAGUGCUCGCCUGGCGUGCGUGCGGCCCGGGUUCGAUCCUCAGCACCA